CCUACGGGGGGCAGCAGUCGGGAAUAUUGCGCAAUGGAGGAAACUCUGACGCAGUGACGCCGCGUAUAGGAAGAAGGUUUUCGGAUUGUAAACUAUUGUCGUUAGGGAAGAUAAAAGACUGUACCUAAGGAGGAAGCCCCGGCUAACUAUGUGCCAGCAGCCGCGGUAAUACAUAGGGGGCAAGCGUUAUCCGGAAUUACUGGGUGUAAAGGGAGUGUAGGCGGGAAGGCAAGUCAGAAGUGAAAAUUAUGGGCUCAACCCAUAACCUGCUUUUGAAACUGUUUUUCUUGAGUGAAGCAGAGGCA
RNAcentral lists this ribosomal RNA (305 nucleotides) under uncultured bacterium. RNAcentral's name for it is "bacterial SSU rRNA". It matches the Rfam family "Bacterial small subunit ribosomal RNA", at positions 338 to 659 of the family's 1533-position model. The record is from RNAcentral.